Non-coding RNA from Cricetulus griseus (Chinese hamster), 73 nucleotides. The record is from Rfam. Lineage: Eukaryota; Metazoa; Chordata; Mammalia; Rodentia; Cricetidae.
GGAGAGAUAGUUCAGUGGUUGAGAGCACUGGCUGCUCUUCCAGAGGUCCUGAGUUCAAUUCUCAGCAACUACA